This 4142-nucleotide long non-coding RNA is filed under the name Salmo salar (Atlantic salmon). RNAcentral describes it as "lncRNA (ENSSSAG00000090753.1)". Lineage: Eukaryota; Metazoa; Chordata; Actinopteri; Salmoniformes; Salmonidae. The record is from RNAcentral.
AAACAUUUUGUCGUAGUUGGUUAAGGUUUGGUCUAGAUUGUCUUUGCUUUAUUAUUGAUACGUUUAUUUGUAAUUUGGCUUAUUUGACUAUUGUUUUAUAGUUAACUUGGGUUAGUUUAGUUCAGAUUGCCCCCCCCAAAAAUUUUUUUGAGGGGAUGUUUUGGUUUGGGCCAAAACGUUGAGAGCCAUGUGUUCUUUUGGUUCAGUUAGCUUGGUAGCUAAAUUUGGUUAACAAUUCACUCUGGGUUUUUCUGGGUUUUGGUUCAAGUGGGAGUCCUCUCCUGUUCAGGCUAAUCAGCGAGUGUCAAUAGGAGGCUCGUGGUGUUUUUGUUUUAGGUGGCAGUGAACGUGGGUAGAGCUUCCCUUUUCCUUUCCCCCCUACAUCGGCUCGGGAGCACCUCCGUGGUUAUGGGGGGAGGGGGCGCCAGUUUCUGCUUGUCUUUUCCACUCCGCUGGUUUUGUGUGCAUAAAACCCCAGCACAUGUGACUGCACGAAGACCAGGGCCAGUUAGUUAGUUGUUUUUGGAGGAUAGUGGGGUGUGGCUCCUGUCCCUUGAACCCAGACUAACAGCAGGUGAGUUGUGUUUUUUUUUGUUGUUGAGCGUUUGUUAUAGUUGUAUUGGUUGAGGAAAAUGUCUUCCAUUCUGAGUAGUUUUGUUCAAGCUCCUUCAGAGGUAGCCUUAGAGUUGUGUACUAAGGAGCAGUUAAUUGAAAAUUGCAGAACAUUAUCAGAUUGAGAUUGUUGAUUAAAAAAAAUUGAGACUUAAAACUAAAUUAAAGCAGGGUCUUAAGGAAAUAGGUGUUUUUUGGGGGUCUGUCUGCUAGUAGUGAAGGUACAAGUUUUCAGUCUAGUCCUUCAUUAACUUUUGAGCAGCAGCGGGAGCUAUUGCGAAUGCAGUUGGAGAUAGAGCGAUUGAGAAAUGCUAAUAGACCAGAAGAAUUACCACAGUAGAAUCUUGUGUUUGUUGCGUAAAUUUGAUGAGUCAGAUCCAGACAAAUACUUUGCUUUAUUUGAGCGUAUUGCGGAAGCCAGAGCUUUGUCAGAUUUGGACGUGACUAUGUUGUUGCAAUGUGUACCUACAGGUAAAGCACGUGAGGCUUUUGCAGCACUGAGUGUAGCUGACUGUAAACUGUAUGCUAAAGUUAAAUCAGCAGUUCUGAAGGUCUACGAACUUGUGCCGGAGGCAUAUCGUCAACGUUUUCGUUACAGGAAAUAGUUAGAUUCACAAACCUGUUCUGAGUUUGUUCGUGAUUUGACUUCCGCAUUUAAUCGUUGGUGUACAGCUUCUGAAGUUAGUACUUUUGAAGAUCUGUCUCAUUUGAUUGUGUUAGAACAGUUCAAAAAAUUCUGUGUGUGACCAGGUUGCUACAUACAUGAAUGAACGUAAAGUUAAGUCUCCAAGUGAUGCAGCAGUCCUUGCAGAGGAGUACAGGCUAACACAUAAAAGCAAUUUUUGAGUCAAACAGUGACAUGUACCAUGAAAAUAACUUUACUAGUAGGUCACAUUUUUUUUUGGAGCUUCUUUCCAAAGGCCUCAGCAGAAGUUUGGGUCUGGAGGACUAAAAGCACCGGUUAAUGCUAAUACCUGUUGCUACUGUUUAGUUGAAGGACAUUGGAAGAAAGAUUGUCCUCUACUUAAAUCAAAAAAAGUCAGGUCAAGUUAAACCUGCUGUGAUGGCAGCUCCUGUUUCAGCCUCUGACCAUCAGGGUGAGUUUUUUUCAGCCACUAGUUGAGUUUGAUUCUCAGUCUUCCCACUGUGAUUUUUCAGCCUUUAUUUCAGAUGGUGUAGUGUCCCUGAAAGAUGGCAACCAAAAUGUUUCGAUCAAGAUCUUAAGAGACACUGGAGCUUUAGAUUAUUUUAUUCUGGAAUCUGUUUUGCCGUUCUCUAAGGAGUCUGAUACUGGCAGAUGGUACGUGGUAUGGGUUUAGUUCCAUUCUCUUCUCCUCUACAUGAAGUUACCUUAAAAUGUGGUCUGGUAGAGGGUGAUGUAGAUGUUGGGGUUAGACCCCAGUUGCCAGUAGAGGGAGUCCACAUGAUUUUGGGGAAUGUUUUGGCAGGUAGUAAGGUGUGGGCAGAUAGCAAACUAAACAUCUUUACGAAACAACCUUCAGUGUCCCCAGCAAGGGUAUCUCCAGAUCGCAACUGUGUAUCUCCUGAGAUAUUUCCAGUUUGUGAUGUUACCAGCGCUGCCUCUCGUAAUAAGGCUGAGAGUAAGACGGAAAGUUUUGAGUUGCCAGUCAAACUCCAGACAGAACAGUUGACUAGUUCUAGAGAUUCAUUGAUAGCUGAGCAAAAGGCUGAUACUACUUUGGCUGAUCUGUUUGAUAAUGUUGUUCCUGAUUCAGUGCUGAGGAAGAGUGCUCAGUGUUAUUUUCUUCUUGAUGGGCUGUUGGUUAGGAAAUGGGUUCCACACUAUGAUCAGGGUCUAGGAGAACCAGUCUUUCAAAUAGUUGUACCUACCACUCUGCAAAAUAAAGUGUCGCAAACUUCACAUGGUGACGUGGCAGGUCAUAUGGGUGUUCGUAAAACUUAUGAUCGCAUACUCCGGUAUUUUUUUUUCUGGCCACGUUUAAAGCGGGAUGUAGCUCAGUUUAUUAAAACUUGUCAUACGUGUCAGCGCACAAGCAAGCCGAACCAGGUUGUAAGCCAUGUGAAUCUGUUUAAAUGUUAUCACUCCAGUGAUCUAAGCAAAGUGGAAGGCACUCCAGCGGUGAGGUCAGCGUUGAUUGCUGCUCCAGUCACUGCAUCUUGUGGCUUUAACUUUGUGGAGGGGGGAGAAGAGGAGGUAGUUAGGGUUUCGGAUGAGGUCUUACAAAGAUGGUUGGAAAAACUCCCAGACUUUGUAAAUUCUUGGGGUUUUGGUAGAUCAUUUAGACUCUGAGAAACGUGAUGAAUUGGUAGCUCUUAUUAGAAGCUACCCUGUUUAUGUUUUCUGACACUCUAUCGAAAACCCAUUUAAUUGAGCAUGACAUAGACAUCGGAGAUGCUAAGCCUAUCAAACAGAUUUUUAUCGUUUAUCUCAGGAGAAGAGACUGCAAUUGGACGACGUGGUCGUCUACUCAGACUCCUGGGAGGAGUAUGUCUGGAGAGUGCAAGCCCUGUUCGAAAGACUGGUGUGGGACAGGUUCAGGAUCAAUUUGGAAAAGUGUGAGUUUGCCAAAGCUAUAGUCACAUACCUAGGCAAGGUUGUUUGUCAGGGUGUUGUCUGUCCCGUGGAAGCCAAGGUUCAGGCUGUGAAGCAGUUCCCACAGCCCUCCACAAAGAAAGAACUGAUGCGCUUCCUGGGAAUGGCGGGGUACUACCGUGCUUUCUGUAAAAAGGAGGGUCGUUAGUGAUUGGAGCCACCUGGGCUCAGGGUAUUUUAAUCUCUCUCUCUCUCUCUGUCUCUCUGUCUCUCUGUCUCUCUCUCUCUCUCUCUCUGAUCCUGUUUGUUUCUUUUGUAGGUUUAUUUAGUUUCCACUCAGUCUGUUCCCACACACUGAUCCAUGCACCUUACCUUAUGACAUUUCCACACCUCAUUCCUUUUUCUUUGUUCCAAGUUAAUCUUUUUUUGUUUUGUUUUUUUUGGUUUACAAUAAAGAACCUUUUUGAUUGGCCUAUACCUUUUGUUCAUGUCCCCUCAUUUUUGCCACAGGCUAUGAGCCGGCAGAGGAGGGGCCAUGACAUUUGUUUCAGUCCAUAACCAUCUGUGUGAGGUGGAUACUUUUGUUUCAAUGUAGAUUUGUUACAGACUAUCAAGAAACACUCUGUGUGGCCUUGAUUUAGCCCACUCUAUGUGCCAUCAUAGAUUUGUGUAAUAAUGAUGAUUUUAUGUCAACCUACGACCAAUGUUGUUGUUCUGUUGAGGAGGUGCUGCAGAGGUGCUGCAGAGGUGCUGCAGAGGUGCUGGAAUAAAGUAAUUUGUUUAAAUGUUUGUAAAUGUCUUCAGGUUUCAGGUACAGUGAAAACGCCUUUCUUGCUCUUUCCCAAAAAUGCAGUAAUCAAUAUCACUAGUACUAUUAAAAUAUGAUAAAAUAGACAUUUUAUAAUACUAGUGAUAAUAUAUCAAUUAAAAAAUGUCUCUUUCAUAUGAAUCAAAUUGUAUUCAUCACAUGCUUUGUAAACAACAGGUGUCAACAGUGAAAGUAUUACUUAUUGGC